UAUUAAAGCCAUAUCACCCUGCAGCCCAAGACCGGAUACUCACUGAAGCUAAGCAGGGUUGAACCUGGUCAGUACCUGGAUGAGAGACCACAUGGGAAAAUCAAGGUUGCUAGUCC
Molecule: ribosomal RNA, 116 nt
Organism: Danio rerio (zebrafish)
Lineage: Eukaryota; Metazoa; Chordata; Actinopteri; Cypriniformes; Danionidae
Source: Ensembl